Molecule: long non-coding RNA, 337 nt
Filed under: Androctonus crassicauda
Lineage: Eukaryota; Metazoa; Arthropoda; Arachnida; Scorpiones; Buthidae
Source: RNAcentral
CCAUGGGGUAGCAAUGGGUGUUCGGAGCCCUAUAGCGCAUCAUGUGUUUGGCGAAAUGUAGGAGAGUUCGGUUUCGUCCACCGAAUUUUCUUAUAUUUCGUCAAAUGCAUGAAUCGGCUAUGUAUCAAAUGACGAGAUAUAACAAAAUUCGGUGGUGCACUGUGGAGCGUGCGGUUUCGAUUUCUAAGGAAACCAGGUUUACUACCGGGGGUCGCCGGGAGAGGGUUUGUGCACUGCGGAAGUACAGAAUGUGUGAUUGAGGAGUGUGUAGUCGCCGAUUGAGACGGCACAAAUAGGGUUUCUAAACAAUACAUGUCAGCGUUUAUUGUUAAUUACA